Pelobates cultripes (western spadefoot toad) is the source of this 430-nucleotide non-coding RNA. NCBI's taxonomy places the organism in Eukaryota, Metazoa, Chordata, Amphibia, Anura, Pelobatidae. The record is from the annotation of a GenBank genome assembly.
GUUUGCUUUGUCUUGUCAAGUUUUGUGUGUUUGUAUUAAAAAGAAACCAUGAAGAUUGAGUGCAAUGAUUCCUUUCGAUCAGGUCAAGUGUCUCACUCACCAUCAUUUAUACUGCAGGAAUUAUUACCAGUUUGUAGAGGAAUUAAUUUCUCUGCCUGAAGCCAUGUAUUUACUUUAUGAGAGCAUUAUGGAUAAAGGUAGACAUUCUUUUUGCAUUCUGUUGCCAUUUUCACACCUACCAACACGGGAUGUAUUAAAUCAGAACAGAUAGGAGGCCCUUCAUGGAUGCAUUGACAAUGUCACUGGUGAUGUCCAUACUGAGUGGGCCUGUCUGGAGUGUUUACCCACUGAAGGGGAUUGUCAAACUGGCGUCAAGCACAGUCUCCCAGCUGGCUACCCCACAAAUAGGAACAUGAUACGAAUGAUCGAA